GAGCUAUAUGUAAAAUGAGAAUAAGUGCUCAUGAUCUUAGAAUUGAGAAAGAUAGAUAUAGUAAAAAAUAUAUAGAGAGAACUCAACGUCUAUGUCAUCACUGCUUAUCACAUGGAUCAAAUUCUAUUGAAGAUGAGACCCAUUUUACAGUAAAUUGUCCAUUAUAUAAUGAACAGAGGAAAUUAUUAUUUGAUAAAGUUAUCACUUUUUGUACUAAUUUUAAAGAACUACCUAAUGAUAAGAAAUAUUUCUGGCUGUUCACAAAUGAGCAUUUACCUACUCUCAUGUGCCUAGGAAAUUACAUUAUUAAAGGUUUAGAAAUAAGAUCCAGAUGUAAACAAAAUAUAUGAAAUAAUAUAAUAUUUUAUUGUUAUAACAUUUAAUAUAAUAGUUAUAUAAAACACAUGUUGUGUUAGGCUCUGAUCCUGUCCAUAACGUUAUAGUAUGGUAUUAGUUUUCUGUUUUGCUUUUUCCAAUCAUAUUGUGUUGUAAAAUGAUGCCCUUUAU
RNAcentral lists this long non-coding RNA (507 nucleotides) under Mytilus galloprovincialis (Mediterranean mussel). The record is from RNAcentral. Lineage: Eukaryota; Metazoa; Mollusca; Bivalvia; Mytilida; Mytilidae.